This is a long non-coding RNA of Boleophthalmus pectinirostris (great blue-spotted mudskipper), 468 nucleotides long. RefSeq lists it as uncharacterized. The transcript is spliced from 3 exons. NCBI's taxonomy places the organism in Eukaryota, Metazoa, Chordata, Actinopteri, Gobiiformes, Gobiidae. The record is from RefSeq and is a predicted model, not a curated record.
CAAACCAAACCAAGAGACACGACCAAUCUAACCAGUAGUGAUGAUACCUGAUUGUCUCCAUGGAAACACAUUAAAGCUCAGUACUGUGAAAAUUUACAGCCAAAACCAAAGACAUGGAGAUAAACAGGAUCUUGCGGGACUGCGAAGGGUAAAUAUCGUCUAAAGUGAGACUUGGUGACAAAAGUUUGAGAGAUGCACUUUAUUUCAACAUCUAAAUUUGACCGUCCCUCAAAGUCACCGGGGAAACCUGUCAGAAUCUACAGGGACCAUCUCCAGACCUGGACCUGGACCUGGACCUGGACUCGGUCAGAACCUCAGCAGGAAGAUUUUACUCAGAGUUCAUGUCUUUAUUGACUUUAUUUACUGUAAAUCUAUAACACGGCCAGAAUAUUUAAACUAAUUAAUAUUUAGUUUUGGUAGAAAAGGGCUCGGAUGAGUUUGUACAACAUUUAAAAUUGGAGAAAUGAU